Lactuca sativa (garden lettuce) is the source of this 104-nucleotide small nucleolar RNA. Lineage: Eukaryota; Viridiplantae; Streptophyta; Magnoliopsida; Asterales; Asteraceae. The record is from RefSeq and is a predicted model, not a curated record.
CGGCAUUGACUCGAUCAAUUUUGUCUCGAUCGAUUUUGUCGUGCUUCUGAGAAUGAUCAAUGAAGUAAAAGACACAAAAUGGUUGCACUUCUUAAUAUGAGCCG